Molecule: long non-coding RNA, 1039 nt
Organism: Lagenorhynchus albirostris (white-beaked dolphin)
Lineage: Eukaryota; Metazoa; Chordata; Mammalia; Artiodactyla; Delphinidae
Exons: 3
Source: RefSeq, a predicted model, not a curated record
GAUCGGCCUUUGAGCGCAGUGCCCGGCCCUGGCGAGCCAAGUCCGAUCUCCCGGCCCGCAGCGAGGGAGCGCGAAGGUCGGCCUUCAGUUCUGCAGAUGGGAGGCAGCAAGGAAAUAGGGACCUCAGUCCUCCAGUCACAAAAAAGGGCCCGAAUUCUGCCAACAACCCAAAUGAACGUGGAAGAGGAUCCUGAGCUUCAGCACCUAACACCUUAACUUCAGCCUGUGAGGCCCUCAGCAGAAAACCCAGCUACACCGGGCCCAGAUUUAAGACGAGCACAACUGUGAGCUGGAAGUCAAAGAAGUGUCUUUCACAUACACACAAUUGCAUACACACAAGCAUCUAUGAUGGAGUCAGAGACUGAAGAUCUUGAAACAUGGAGGUCUGCAGUCCCUGUUGUUUCUAUUAAUGGAAACAUGGUUCUAUUUUAAGCCAAACUGAUAUUCUGAUUGUAGAAUUGCAGCAAGUACUCAGAAGGCCUUGCAAACAAAAGAGUAAACACAUGGAGAACUGGUCCCUCUGCCAGAUUCAGCGAACACCAUUUUUAUAUCCUAAUUGCCGGGAAUGGGGACAGCUGCAUCAUUGUUUAAAACACACACUCAUGCACAAUUAAGCCAAGAAUAAAUGUCAACACUGGCACAAUCUGCCAAAUAACUGAUAACUGAUGAGCAUUACUCAUGCUGUGAGCAUUGUCUCCAAUAGAAAAUGGAAAGAUGCCUAUUUUGAAAAGAUCUUAGAGGUUUCUACUGGUUUAAGAAAGCUGGGUUUACCGAGGGGGAAAGGGGGGUGGUGGGAUGAAUUGGGAGAUGGGGAUUGACAUAUAUAUACUAUUGAUACGAUGUAUAAAAUAGAUACUAAUGAGAACCUACUGUAUAGCUCAGGGAACUCUACUCCGUGCUCUGCGGUGACCUAAAUGAGAAGGGAAUCCAAAAAAGGGGGGAUAUAUGUAUAUGUAUAGCUGAUUCACUUUUCUGUACAGUAGAAACUAACACAGCAUUGUAAAGCAACUAUACUCCAAUAAAAAGAAUUUUUUAAAUA